RNAcentral lists this unclassified non-coding RNA (230 nucleotides) under uncultured fungus. Its description in RNAcentral is "sequence contains ITS1". The record is from RNAcentral. Lineage: Eukaryota; Fungi.
GUAUUGUAUUGCGUUAAACGCGGUAUGCAUUCCAUGAGACUUUACUACAGUGUGUGUGUAAAUACAUAGAACCACGGCAGGGGACAGAGCCCCCAGGCUGCAGAACUAUGGAGGGUGCACAGGUGUGAGUGGAUGUGUAAACAGAGUGUGCACGUGUCCCCACUUGAGGACCAGCAACAACUCGUGUCAACAAUUCGGUAAUGAUCCUUCCGCAGGUUCACCUACGGAAA